GACGAACGCUGGCGGCGUGCUUAACACAUGCAAGUCGAACGGAAAGGCCCUGCUUUUGUGGGGUGCUCGAGUGGCGAACGGGUGAGUAACACGUGAGUAACCUGCCCUUGACUUUGGGAUAACUUCAGGAAACUGGGGCUAAUACCGGAUAGGAGCUCCUGCUGCAUGGUGGGGGUUGGAAAGUUUCGGCGGUUGGGGAUGGACUCGCGGCUUAUCAGCUUGUUGGUGGGGUAGUGGCUUACCAAGGCUUUGCCGGGUAGCCGGCCUGAGAGGGUGACCGGCCACAUUGGGACUGAGAGACGGCCCAGACUCCUACGGGAGGCAGCAGGGGGGAAUAUUGCACAAUGGGCGGAAGCCUGAUGCAGCAACGCCGCGUGCGGGAUGACGGCCUUCGGGUUGGAAACCGCUUUCGCCUGUGACGAAGCGUGAGUGACGGUAAGGGGUAAAGAAGCACCGGCUAACUACGUGC
Molecule: ribosomal RNA, 469 nt
Filed under: uncultured bacterium
Lineage: Bacteria
Description: partial 16S ribosomal RNA
Rfam family: Bacterial small subunit ribosomal RNA
Source: RNAcentral